ACGAACGCUGGCGGUAUGCUUAACACAUGCAAGUCGAACGGGCAUAGCAAUAUGUCAGUGGCAAACGGGUGAGUAAUACAGAGGAAUCUACCUAGCAGUAAGGAAUAACUUUGGGAAACCAAAGCUAAUGCCAUAUAUUACCGGGCAACCGGGAAAGAUUUAUCGCUGUUAGAUGAGCCUCUGCCGGAUUAGCUAGUUGGCGGGGUAAAGGCCCACCAAGGCAAUGAUCCGUAGCUGGUCUGAGAGGAUGAUCAGCCACACUGGAACUGAGACACGGUCCAGACUCCUACGGGAGGCAGCAGUGGGGAAUAUUGGACAAUGGGCGCAAGCCUGAUCCAGCAAUACCGCGUGAGUGAUGAAGGUCUUCGGAUUGUAAAGCUCUUUUAGUGGGGAAGAUAAUGACGGUACCCACAGAAAAAGCACCGGCAAACUUCGU
This 436-nucleotide ribosomal RNA is filed under the name uncultured bacterium. RNAcentral describes it as "bacterial SSU rRNA". It matches the Rfam family "Bacterial small subunit ribosomal RNA", at positions 29 to 506 of the family's 1533-position model. The record is from RNAcentral.